RNAcentral lists this unclassified non-coding RNA (329 nucleotides) under soil metagenome. RNAcentral describes it as "partial contains 5.8S ribosomal RNA, internal transcribed spacer 2, and large subunit ribosomal RNA". The stretch from base 1 to 120 matches the Rfam family "5.8S ribosomal RNA", at positions 35 to 154 of the family's 154-position model. The record is from RNAcentral.
GAUGAAGAACGUAGCGAAAUGCGAUAAGUAGUGUGAAUUGCAGAAUUCAGUGAAUCAUCGAAUCUUUGAACGCACAUUGCGCCCCUUGGUAUCCCGAGGGGCAUGCCUGUUCGAGCGUCAUUUCACCACUCAAGCCUGGCUUGGUGUUGGGCGACGUCCCCUUUGGGGACGCGCCUCGAAACGCUCGGCGGCGUGGCACCGGCUUUAAGCGUAGCAGAAUCUUUCGCUUUGGAAGUCGGGACCCCGUCUGCCGGAAGACCUACUCGCAAGGUUGACCUCGGAUCAGGCAGGGAUACCCGCUGAACUUAAGCAUAUCAAUAAGCGGAGGA